RNAcentral lists this unclassified non-coding RNA (440 nucleotides) under uncultured fungus. Its description in RNAcentral is "partial contains ITS1, 5.8S rRNA and ITS2". The record is from RNAcentral. Lineage: Eukaryota; Fungi.
UAAAGUUUUACGCUUGUUACUUGACACCCUGGUCGAUGCGCAAACUAGAAAGAUGUAGCAGGUCUAAAACUUUGCCUUAAAUCGUAUAUUUGGAUAGAGCCAUCAGAACAACCAGUAAGUAUUUACUCACCUUUUUAAAAAUAUUAGAGAGACGUGGCUGAAACUUUCUGACCUUUAGGGUCUCUGGAUUUAAUUAGGAGUUAAUGACCAAGAUUUUGAUCCAUGCCAACUGGUUUAGAAUUCAAAUCCCACUGUCUGAUGGUUCCAUCACUCGAACUCGUUAGAAAUAAGUUGUCAUUUUUAGGGUGCCAUUUGCCAUCUAGGAUUGCUGCAACAUGGCCUUUAGUAUUUGCCAUGUCAUGCAGAUACAUAUCUCCCCGAACUGUCGUUUAUUUCUUUACCCCUUCGAAGGAAUAUAUUCUAGCCUGAUUGUUUGGACA